UGGGCUGUGGCUCGGUGGUAGAGCGCUCACCUAGCAUGUGUGGGGCACUGAGUUUGAUUCUCAGCACUGCAU
Molecule: transfer RNA, 72 nt
Filed under: Marmota marmota marmota (Alpine marmot)
Lineage: Eukaryota; Metazoa; Chordata; Mammalia; Rodentia; Sciuridae
Also listed under: 1 other name
Rfam family: tRNA
About the family: Transfer RNA (tRNA) molecules are approximately 80 nucleotides in length.
Source: Rfam by way of RNAcentral